CUAUCAAUUUUCAUCGCUAAUUUGGUAUAUAGUGUAUGUUUCCAUUUGUAAUUGUAGCCAAUUAUAUUUUGAGUACACAGAGGCAGGAGGUAGCACUAAGUGUCGCAAUGCUACUAUACUGAUUUUCACAGAGACAGGAGCUAGCACUUAGAACACCGAAAGAUGCUCAACUACCUUUUCCCAUCUGUGUUGAAGAAAACCCAUUUUUCAUAUUUGUACAGAUCUGCGCCAACAACACAAAAUGCAUGUAAGCAUUUCAGCAUUCAAUGUUCAACCCUGAUAUUCAAGCUUAAUAUGUCUAGUACAUGAUAACUAACAAGGAGUAGUAUUUUUCUGAUCAGAAUCAGCCAGCAUGAUAUCUGAAAGUCAUGUCAGCUAAUCAUUUGUAUGCUUCUCAACUGCAUAUCUGCUAAUAUGGGCAUUUGGCCAGUGGCGGACCUAGGAUUGGAACUUAGGGUAUGCCAUGUCAAAAUUUCAACAUACAAUUCGGUAUUCGGUACAAUAUAAAAAAUUCGGUAUACAACAAAAAAAUCCACAAGCAAUUCGGAAUAUAAGCAAUUAAGUUCAAUACUUGCAUAGAUUACAAUAUAAACAGUAGAAGCAUAUUAAUGGUGUUGGUUUGUUUGGUUGAGCUGUGACUUUUGAAAAAAACUGUUGUGAGCUGUGGACUGUGGAAAAGCAGUUGUGGAAAAACAGUUGUGGGAAAAGCUGGCUUUGGGCAAAAGUAGUUGUGGCUUUUGAGCCCUUUGGUUGACUUUUGACUUCUGCAAUAGAAAGCCCAACCAAAGAUACCCUAAGUCUUAGAAAUGCAUAAAAUAAGUUUACACACUUACAAUAGUUCAAAGAGAUUAUCUUAUUUCUUUUUAUUAGGUCUACGCUUCCUAAAGUUCAUGAAAGUAUUAAUUAUAUCAUCUUCAUCCACUUGAAAGAAGAUAUCUCGCUCGAUGAAUGUGUGUAGACAAUCAUCCAAAAGACUAUAUAUCUGCCAUCUUAUUUCUCAACUUAGUUUUGACAAAAGUCGACCCUUUCAACACUUAUCGUUACCACUGGUAGAAGUAAAAGACCAAUUUUAGAAGAUCAUAAACCAUAUCAUAAACCUUAUGCCUCCCGGUUUGAACUAGCUUAACUGAAAGGACAACAAGAUUGGUAAGACCUUUGAAGCUGUCCUCAUGUUUAAUGUCAUCAAUAUAAUUGUCAAGUUGCAAUUUAAAUUUGAUCAAAUCCGAAUUAAAGAAGUUAUUAGAGAGGAGGGCUGGCUUAGGGUAUGCCACGGCAUACCCAGGCCACCCUGUAGGUCCGCCGGUGCAUUUGGCUACUUUAUGAUCCAACUAUCAUCUCCUUCAUAGCUUCAUGCGACUAUGGAAGAUAUGUGGGCAAAAAGUCGUGGCUUGCUCACGAGCUACUGCGAAGAGUGCUCUGAUGUUUUCAGAUCACGUUGAAUAAGUGUUCAGAAGUUCGGCUGGAAUUCACCGGUUUUCGGCAAAUAUCGGUCCUACUGGGUGUGGCCGGUAAAUGACCUUAUUGGUAUCUGGAACACUACAUUGAAUCAGUUCUUGAGACACCUUGAAUCGAGCUAUAAACAUUCAUGUCCCCUGCACCUUGAUGAUGCCAAUGUAGGUCGCAGACUCAUACUGCUUCUCAUUUUGCAGCUCAUCUCUUUGGAAGAUUUGUGUGCAAGCAGAUAUAUAAGUUGGAAAAACGCUGUCCUGUGUUCCUGCUUGCUGCUUCUCAAUGACUUGGUUGUAUCAUUGGCAGUCAUGCCCUACUCGUCCUAUGAUCUACCUACUGAGCAGAAGAUGUUGUCCAUUUGCACAAGUCGCCAUCCUAAGCAACUUUGAACUGAAUGCUCCUUCAGAAUGCCCUCUUCUAGUUCAUCGGAGUGGGGAUACACACAUCUGCUGAUCCUCACAGUUUUAGACAGUCAUGACAUGGAUAUGAGCUUUGUUGGUAAUUUGGCUAUUAGGAAUUUAUGCCGAUGCUUCUCGCGAAGAUCACGAUCAUCAUCACAAGAAAUGACUUGUGCUCAUCUGACUAGAGGCUGAACAAGAUUUUCUUGCAUCUCUCUGGUUGUUCAAGGAUGCAUGGAACAAAUCAGGUUCAAGCAUAGAAAUUUCCCGAGAAAUCUUGCUCCUAUUAAGAUACUGACAGUUAAAUAGGCCAGUGCUUGGUUUAAUAUAUAAUUCUGAUGACUAAUCAAGCACGAGAAGUACGACAAAUUUUGGGGGUGAUGACGUGAUGUUACUGAUGUGUAGAAUAGCAACACCCCAUUUGAAUGUUGAAGAGAGUGACCUUCUUUAAGUCAUCGGUGCCAUCCAUCUUUCAAUCAUCAAUCAGCCAUUUCAACGGCUCCUGGAGUUGAGCAGUUAAAGCGCAUGUAAAGACUUAAGGAGAGAUAAGAAUUCCUUUCACGCUGGCUCAUCGGUCAAGGAUUCUGAAAAACCAACCAAGAUUGUGCGCGCAUGUAGGAGAGAUCAAAUAAGAGCUCGGCAAGUCGACAAUACGCUUCUGAUGAGCAAGCAAGAAGCAAAGAAACCGAUUGGGAGAGAGCGUGCCAUAGCAAACACGAGAAGCCGGAGGCGAUGGACGUUGUUGUGUUGCACUGUGAAAUGAAAUAGACAGAGUAAUCUAUGUUUGGUGAAAUUCAUAAGCAGUAGUAUCCUCAGCUCUGUAAUUUGUGUUCAAUGAGUUGUGAACGGCACUUUAUGCUUUGUUGCAAUUAAGGAGUAGUAAUCUGAACUCUGUACUCCAAUUAUAUCCUUGCGCUCAUUCCAGUCC
Molecule: long non-coding RNA, 2775 nt
Organism: Panicum virgatum (switchgrass)
Lineage: Eukaryota; Viridiplantae; Streptophyta; Magnoliopsida; Poales; Poaceae
Exons: 7
Source: RefSeq, a predicted model, not a curated record